RNA transcript from Phragmites australis (common reed), 1820 nucleotides. It is a transcript of the gene named synaptonemal complex protein ZEP1-like, with no coding region annotated. The transcript is spliced from 6 exons. NCBI's taxonomy places the organism in Eukaryota, Viridiplantae, Streptophyta, Magnoliopsida, Poales, Poaceae. The record is from RefSeq and is a predicted model, not a curated record.
CGCAGCGAACCUAGAACGCGAGGUGGAGGGGGAGCAAAAGAAAAUUGAAGCGGGAUAUAUGAGCCGUCUAAUGGUGCAAGACACGGGAUUCAGAGUGGGCGCGGGACUUAUGGGAUUCAGAGUGAGCGCGGGACUUAUGGGAUUCAGGGUGGAUGUGUGACUCAUUAGAUAUUUUUUUUAAGUAGUAGAGAAGAGAAGUGGCUUCCGUUCGACUCUAGCUCCCUCUUAUGCGCCCUUUUGCUAACAUCAGCUAACUGAGCCACCUUAGGACCUGUUUGUUUUAGCUGGGAAUUUUGAAAAGCAGCUUAUAGAUUGUGGAUUAUAAAAAACUGGAGUAAAAAGCUGCAUUGUGAAAAACUUUUAAAUUGUAGAUUCAAAAAACUUUAAUGGGUAAUUUAGUAAAAUAAACUUUCACAAUCUAUCAAAAGUUGAGAAAAAUUAGCUUUUCAGAUUCACACAAUCUAACAAGCGAAUUAUAAAAAAACUAUAACAAAAAACUGUAUGUUCGGAUUGUAAAAGCUAAAAGUCAGAAUCAAAGUCGAAACAAACAGUCUUACUUGUUGCAACCCGGUCUGCAUCUUAUGUCCUGUAGCCCAAUCUAUGACAUCUUGGUCCAAUUCAAGCACAGCUCCCGCACCCCAAAUCGCGCUCACUCAAUUGGCUUCAUUUCCGCUCCAAUUCACCUCGAAGGUUCUCGAAGCGUCGGAAGGUUGCGAGGUGACACCACCAAAUUUCCUUCUACGCUCUAAUCGGUGAGUGGCGUAUGCUCUAGGGCUUGUUCAACGCAUUUUUCGUUGGUUCGUUGCACUAAAGCUAGGGCUAUGGCCACAGCCCUACUGCUUUCGGCGAAAUCUAGGGUUCCGUAGAAAUGCAGAAGCUCUCGGGGCUUAGGGGCCUCGUGGGGUUCCGAUCUCUCGUUGGGUCGACCUCGACGGCCGUAAAGGCCACGAACCCCAGGCCCUCCUCGGAUGCUGGGGGUAUUACGUAUGGGAGCCUCGCCAAUCUUUUGAACACAGAAGAGAAAUUGGUCAAGGAGCAGGCUUCAGUGAAGACUGAUCUAGAAAUGGCGCAUACCAAACUGAGAAGAGCAACAGAACACAUAAACCUUUUAGAAGGCCUUCAACAAGCUGUGAAUGAAAGUGCAAAGCUUAAGCAGACUGAAGAUUCAAAGCUCUUGCAGGGUUUAGAUUCGAAGAUCUCAACAAAGACCUUGUGCGAUCAACUGACUGAAACUCUGCAGCAGCUAGCUAGUCAGACAGAACAAGCUGAGGAAGAUAAGAAGUUUUUUGAGGAGAUACUUGGGAAGAAUUCCACAGCUUUAGAUGAAUUCAACUGCCUGUUGCAUGAUUUAUCAACAAAACUGGAGUGUGCCGAACAAAUGAUCAUUUCAGGGAAGCAGGAGAAAGAAGAAAUGGAUCGGAGUUACAAGGAACGGCCAUGUGCAAAUGAUACUACCAUAAAGGAAAAAGGUAUAAGUUAGAUUUUCUGUACCAAAUGAUGAAUCGGAAAUGGUAAUGGUCGUGUGCUUAAAUUGUAUCACAAGUAUACAGAAACUAAGUAGCUGGGUAUGGGCAAGUUGUUAGAAAAGAACUGCAGCGCAUUCAGUCUCAGGCUGAGAAUGAAUUGAGCGAGAGGCUGUCAUUGCUUAGAAAAGAGCAUGAACUUCAAAUAAAAUCACUAAGGAUGCAGCAUGAAGAACAAUGCCAGAGGCUGCAGGAGGAUCUGGAGCUUCAGAAGUCAAAGGUAGUUACUAGUUACUUUAAAAUAUUCUUUAACGUUGUUUGGUACAGGAGGAGAAGCAAAGUGCAUUAUUACUGUUA